AUAAAACUAUAUAUUCCAUCUUUUUAGGUUUAACAAUGGCCUUAAAUUUUUCCUGUUACAAGAUAAGAUCAUGGUAAUAAAUAAUAAUAGUAUAUUAUUCCUUUUAAAAUAUGAAUAAACCUAACUCCUAACUAUAAUGAUAGUAUAAGUAUGAAAUAAAUUAUUUAUAAUUUAUAAAUAUAUAAAAUAUUAAAAGGAACUCGGCAAAAAUGAGCAACGACUGUUUAACAAAAACAUAGCCUUUUGAAUUUAUAUAAGGUCAAGUCUGCCCAAUGUUAUUUAUUAAUCAAUGGAUACUAACUGUAUAAAGUAGCAUAAUAAUUUGUCUUUUUAUUAGAGACCGGAAUGAAUGAAAUUACGAAGCUCAGCUGUCUCCUAAUAUUUAACAAAAAUUGAUUUAAAAAUGAAUAAUCUUUUAUUUAUAUGUAGGACGAUAAGACCCUAUAGAGUUUUAAUAUAAUAGCUAUUGUAUUUAUAUCUAUACUAUAUAUUUUUGUUGGGGCAACAUAAGAACAAAAAAAAUAUUAACCUUAUANNNCNUUAAAAAGAAAUAAACCAA
This 559-nucleotide ribosomal RNA is filed under the name Phidoloporidae sp. AW-2011. RNAcentral's name for it is "partial 16S ribosomal RNA". The record is from RNAcentral. Lineage: Eukaryota; Metazoa; Bryozoa; Gymnolaemata; Cheilostomatida; Phidoloporidae.